GAUGAACGCUGGCGGCGUGCCUAAUACAUGCAAGUCGAGCGAACAGACGAGGAGCUUGCUCCUUCGACGUUAGCGGCGGACGGGUGAGUAACACGUAGGUAACCUACCUAUAAGACUGGGAUAACUUCGGGAAACCGGAGCUAAUACCGGAUAAUAUUUCGAACCGCAUGGUUCGAUAGUGAAAGAUGGCUGUGCUAUCACUUAUAGAUGGACCUGCGCCGUAUUAGCUAGUUGGUAAGGUAACGGCUUACCAAGGCAACGAUACGUAGCCGACCUGAGAGGGUGAUCGGCCACACUGGAACUGAGACACGGUCCAGACUCCUACGGGAGGAAGCAGUAGGGAAUCUUCCGCAAUGGGCGAAAGCCUGACGGAGCAACGCCGCGUGAGUGAUGAAGGUCUUCGGAUCGUAAAACUCUGUUAUUAGGGAAGAACAAACGUGUAAGUAACUGUGCACGUCUUGACGGUACCUAAUCAGAAAGCCACGGCUAACUACGUG
Molecule: ribosomal RNA, 497 nt
Filed under: uncultured bacterium
Lineage: Bacteria
Description: partial 16S ribosomal RNA
Rfam family: Bacterial small subunit ribosomal RNA
Source: RNAcentral